Molecule: long non-coding RNA, 346 nt
Filed under: Gallus gallus (chicken)
Lineage: Eukaryota; Metazoa; Chordata; Aves; Galliformes; Phasianidae
Source: RNAcentral
CCAGUCCUUUCAUCAACCACUAAGUGGUUGAAGUUCCCCUCCGUUUGAUCUCCAGUGAAGGUGAUGAAGGGCCUCUUUGAGUGGGGAGGCUGCUGCCUCCCGAGAGGUGACACUGUGGCAGAUAACAGAAGGUGAGAAACCAGGCAAGUCCACUUCCACAUGGCUGGUGACAUAUUUAGAAACGUUUGUAUUCCCAAGGGAAUGAGGAUUGGAAGCUGUGUCUUCAAAACGCCAAUUCCCUGGCAGAUUUUGUCCUGGGAAAGCUCCUCGCUUGCUUUUGGGUGGGUUUAUAUAUAUAAAUAUAGAUAUUAUUCUUUUUCCCUCUCCUUUCCCCCCACUUCAGUCU